GGGGGUGGCGCGGCUGAGCUGCGUGCGCCCUGGCUCCGCGUCCUGCCUGCCUCUUGCGAUGCCACCUCCCCCUGGUUUGGCCAUCCGCAGCGGAGGGGUGGACCUGAGGGUGCCAACACUUGGUUUCAGCGCCUGAGGCCACGUUUGCGAGUUAACUUCGAAAGCGGGCUGUAGCUCGCAGUGUGCGCGUCUGCGGUGUGGACGCCUCGGACCCGGGACGGCGGGACGGGGGCAGCAGCCGCCCCCUUGGGUAGGGUGGGUGGUGCCCACCCCUGCGCCAGGCCGGAUGCUUGGUGGAGAGAGUGUUGAACCUUGAUCAUCGAAGGGCUUGCAUGUUUCAUUUGGCUUGCUCUUCAGCUGAAAGGACAGCGUCAGUAAAGAUGGAGAGAUUGAAAUCCAAGCAAUGGGGUGUCUGCUGGAUAGAAGCUUCCUAGGAGAGGGCAGAGGAGGAGUCUGGGAGCUGGUGGGAAGGCUGAGGAAGCGUCCUUCCUCUGCAUCAGGAGGAAGAGCCAAGAGACCUGAGAACUGGAGCUGAGAGGUGACAAGCUGAGGGAGCUCAAGCUGCCAGUGCGCUGCUCUCUGUGCGUAAACGUAGCCAGGCACCUGCUGCCAGAAGGGAGGCAGGCGUGGGUCCGGGAAUCAGAGCAGAAAUGAGACCGUGUCUAACAGUGACAGUGCAGCGCACAGCGUCAAGUUGCUCAGCUGCUAAAUUUGGGUUCCAUGAAUUUGUGAAUACGCCAAUUCAGCUUUUUAAAAAUUUUUUUUGUGAAGAUUUCGAUAAUUCCUCUUAAGUGUAUCAGAUCAGAUUCUGUUAAAAGUUCUGAAGCCUUUUGCUCAGCAUAUAAAAAUAAAUAAUUAUAAAAUUAACUCCACAUCUCCCAUAUGCCCUAAUCCUUAGUGAAAAUAUACGUGCAAACCUGUGACUUAUGUGAUUAAAAAUUCCAUUACUAAUGGGAAAUUAAAUGAACUCAAUAAAAC
This 978-nucleotide long non-coding RNA is filed under the name Equus caballus (horse). Its description in RNAcentral is "lncRNA (ENSECAG00000055536.1)". The record is from RNAcentral. Lineage: Eukaryota; Metazoa; Chordata; Mammalia; Perissodactyla; Equidae.